RNAcentral lists this ribosomal RNA (458 nucleotides) under uncultured bacterium. RNAcentral describes it as "partial 16S ribosomal RNA". It matches the Rfam family "Bacterial small subunit ribosomal RNA", at positions 355 to 803 of the family's 1533-position model. The record is from RNAcentral.
UGGGGAAUUUUGGACAAUGGGGGCAACCCUGAUCCAGCAAUGCCGCGUGUGUGAAGAAGGCCUUCGGGUUGUAAAGCACUUUUGUCCGGAAAGAAAACGUCGUGGUUAAUACCCGUGGCGGCUGACGGUACCGGAAGAAUAAGCACCGGCUAACUACGUGCCAGCAGCCGCGGUAAUACGUAGGGUGCAAGCGUUAAUCGGAAUUACUGGGCGUAAAGCGUGCGCAGGCGGUCCGCUAAGACAGAUGUGAAAUCCCCGGGCUUAACCUGGGAACUGCAUUUGUGACUGGCGGGCUAGAGUAUGGCAGAGGGGGGUAGAAUUCCACGUGUAGCAGUGAAAUGCGUAGAGAUGUGGAGGAAUACCGAUGGCGAAGGCAGCCCCCUGGGCCAAUACUGACGCUCAUGCACGAAAGGCGUGGGGGAGCAAACAGGAUUAGAUACCCUGGUAGUCCACGCCCU